Non-coding RNA from Theobroma umbraticum, 1284 nucleotides. NCBI's taxonomy places the organism in Eukaryota, Viridiplantae, Streptophyta, Magnoliopsida, Malvales, Malvaceae. The record is from RefSeq and is a predicted model, not a curated record.
CGCACUGUCAUCACUCAUUGUUGAUUACAGAGCGGCGCCUAGGCAGAGACAAUUGCAGCGGUGGAAAAAGAUGGCAUGGACAGCCAAAUUUCUGCUUCCGAUUAGACAAUCAAUUUCUCAAUCCCGGAAACUAUUUCAUGGAAAAUUUGGACCUUUGAGAACAUGGGCAGAGAGUAUGGAACCUACACUACAAAACAGGGCCUCAAAGUUUGAGCAUAAACUAAAUAUAUACAGAAAAUAUGUUCAAGAUUUUUGCUUAUCAGGAAAGUUUUGUUUUGUUUUGUUUUUAUAUGAUUUUUCUUUGCUGUUGUAGUUGCCUGUUCAUGUAAAUUUUGCAGUUUUGAUUGAAUUUUAGCGAAAUUUGACUGUUACCCAUUUUAUUAAACUUGCAGCUUUUAUUGAUUAUUGGUUUUACGAAUACCCUUCUUUUUUGGUUAAUAUGAAUUUCAUUGUUUCUGGAUUAUUUUCUCUCUGAUGUUAUGUUAUUUGUAAUUGUUGAACUGGUUUGUAGAUUAAAAAUUGUUCCAUGCCAAUGUUUAUGACUUGAAGGAACUGUUUUCUGAGUUUUGGCUCUGAAUUUUCGCCUACAAUGAACCAGGAAGUAGAAAUGCCAGAAGCAUUUUUGGUGUAUCAGUUGUAUUUGGAGUUGUCUACUGUUGGUCACGUUUUACAUAUGCAAUGGAUGGUCUCGACAUUUUGGUAGAUGAUUAUCAUAUAGAGUCAUUUGAUGCUUCAGAAGGAGAAGAUGAUCGCCACAAACUCUGGAUGUUAAUGAAAAAAUUAUGGCUGCCUGUUUUUUUCAUAUUUACUAUCUUGGUGAACUGGGAUAAUCCCUUCGCUGUUGCAAUUAGAGUCCUUCUUUUUCUCCUCAGCACCAAACCAAGCCCUUCAUCAAUUUAUCUUUUUGUUGAAAGGUUAUGUCACGGAUAUAUGCACCACAAACCUCAUUUUUACAUAUGUAAGUCACUGCAUGCCAACAAAGUUGAAGUCCAAGAUUAUAAGCUUCUCUGCAUUGCUAAAGUAGAAAUUGGCGACCAGAAGUUACAUUUAAUUGGGAUUCUUGGUGGUUGGUGGACAUUGCCAUCGUCACUGGGUAUAUAUUUCCUUGAUCAGGAGCAGUGCUCUGGUCCACCACAGAGAUAACGAGGUGAUAAUCUUCAUCAGCUGAAUUUUCAUUAAAGGAAUAAGUACCACAAAAUAUUCCUCCCCCUCGACGAAAGUAGAUUAAGGUGACUGGAAGGGUGCAUGCUAUCAUCAUAAGUCCCAUGAGAGAAAUGCUUGUUU